AUUACUAAGCGGAGGAAAAGAAACUAACAAGGAUUGCCCUAGUAACGGCGAGUGAACCGGCAUCAGCCCAGACUGGAAAUCGCUUCGGCGAGUUGUACAGUUGAGACAUAGACCUUACACAGCGGAGCAGGUGUAACUCAGUUGGAACGCUGGACCGUAGAGGGUGAUAGUCCCGUGCCACUUGUUCCAAGUGAGAGGUCGUGUUCCACGAGUCGGGUAGCUUGGGAUUGCUGCCCAAAGUGGGAGGUAGACUUCUUCUAAGGCUAAAUACUCACAAGAGACCGAUAGCGAACAAGUACUGUGAAGGAAAGAUGAAAAGAACUUUGAAAAAAGGGUUAAAAUACUUGAAAUCGCUGAGGAGGAAGCAGUGGGCUCUGCAGCGCUGGCAGUGCAACUAACGACAUGUCGUUGGGGGAGCUGACAGCACAACUCAGUCUGCGUCUUCGUGUUGUGCCUGAAGGCUGUUAGCCCACAGAGCCAACACUAUGGAUUCAGGCUGAGUCGCGGUGUCCACUGACCCGUCUUGAAACACGGACCAAGGAGUCUAACAUGCGUGCAAGUAGUAGGGUUUAAACCACACUGCGCAACGAAAGUGAGCCUUGCCAAACUAGCAGCAAGGGCCGCGUCAGCGAGCUCAGCACAUAUGUUGGGACCCGAAAGAUGGUGAACUAUGCUUGGGAAAGGCGAAGCCAGGGGAAACUCUGGUGGAGGCUUGUAGAGAUUCUGACGUGCAAAUCGUUCUUCUAACCUGAGUAUAGGGGCGAAAGACUAAUCGAACCAUCUAGUAGCUGGUUCCCUCCGAAAUUUCCCUCAGGAUAGCUGGAACAGUGCAGUUUUAUCGGGUAAAGCGAAUGAUUAGAGGUUCGGGAGUUGUAACAACUUUCACCUAUUCUCAAACUUUAAAUUGGUAAGAACGCAGAGUUGCUUCAUUGAACUCUGUGCCGAAUGCGUGUUCCAUGUGGGCCAUUUUUGGUAAGCAGAACUGGCGACGAGGGUUCAACCUAAGGCAGGGUUGAGGCGACCAAUUGGCAGCUAAUGAGAUGAAAAGGUGUUAGUUCAUUUAGACAGUAGGACGGUGGCCAUGGAAGUCGGAACCCGCUAAGGAGUGUGUAACAACUCACCUACCGAAUGAACUAGCCCUGAAAAUGGAUGUCGCUAAGCAGCCAGCCGAUACCCUGCUGUCCAGCUUGAUGACAGUUGGACAGGUAGGAGGGCGUGGAGGCAGCGCAGAAGGCUCUGUGUGGACAGGGUUGGAGCUACCUCUAGUGCAGAUCUUGGUGGUAGUAGCAACUAUUCAAAUGAGAACUUUGAAGACUGAAGUGGAGAAGGGUUUCAUGAGAACAGCAAUUGGUCAUGAGUGACUCGGUCCUGAGGCCAGGGGUAAUCCCGCGACGACAUCGUCCAGGCCGAAAGGGAAUGUAGUUAAAAUUCUACAAGCAGGCGGUGGGUAUUGAGUGGCAACACAACUGAACUCAAAGACGUCGGGGCGAGGUCCUGGGGAGAGUUCUCUUUUCUUCUUAACAAAUCGCUGCCCUGGAGGUCUUUGCGACGAGAGAGGGCUAUCGGUUUGGAAGAGCAGCACACCCUUUGUGCUGUCCGGUGCACCUCCUUCGGCCCUUGAAAAUUUGAGGGAAAUCUUAUCGCUCGCCUGGCCGUACCCAUAACCGC
This 1668-nucleotide ribosomal RNA is filed under the name Blepharisma americanum. RNAcentral describes it as "partial large subunit ribosomal RNA". It matches the Rfam family "Eukaryotic large subunit ribosomal RNA", at positions 42 to 1857 of the family's 3401-position model. Lineage: Eukaryota; Ciliophora; Heterotrichea; Heterotrichida; Blepharismidae. The record is from RNAcentral.